UGGGGAAUUGUUCACAAUGGGCGCAAGCCUGAUGACGCAACGCCGCGUGGGGGAUGAAGGUCUUCGGAUCGUAAACCCCUGUCGAAUGGGACGAAAGACUCGCGAGUGAAUACUUCGCGAGAGUGACGGUACCGUUAAAGGAAGCCACGGCUAACUCUGUGCCAGCAGCCGCGGUAAUACAGAGGUGGCAAGCGUUGUUCGGAAUUACUGGGCGUAAAGGGCGCGUAGGCGGCCCUCUAAGUCAGACGUGAAAUCCCCCGGCUUAACCUGGGAACUGCGUCUGAUACUGGAGGGCUUGAGUAUGGGAGAGGGAUGUAGAAUUCCAGGUGUAGCGGUGAAAUGCGUAGAUAUCUGGAGGAAUACCGGUGGCGAAGGCGGCAUCCUGGACCAUUACUGACGCUGAGGCGCGAAAGCUAGGGGAGCAAACGGGAUUAGAUACCCUCGUAGUCCCUGAGCGGGCUGGCAAGGCGCAU
RNAcentral lists this ribosomal RNA (473 nucleotides) under uncultured bacterium. Its description in RNAcentral is "bacterial SSU rRNA". It matches the Rfam family "Bacterial small subunit ribosomal RNA", at positions 355 to 825 of the family's 1533-position model. The record is from RNAcentral.